GCCCCUGUGGUGAAAUUGGUAGACACAAGGGACUUAAAAUCCCUCGGCGCAAGCUGUACCGGUUCGAUUCCGGUCUCGGGCACCA
This 85-nucleotide transfer RNA is filed under the name compost metagenome. RNAcentral describes it as "tRNA-Leu". It matches the Rfam family "tRNA". Rfam says of the family: Transfer RNA (tRNA) molecules are approximately 80 nucleotides in length. Their secondary structure includes four short double-helical elements and three loops (D, anti-codon, and T loops). The record is from RNAcentral.